AUUGCGCCUCCCUCCCUUACCAAAGCUCUCCCUCUCAAUCUCAACAUACACUCAAACACUUUCUGACUUACCGCCGAUCACUGCCUCCUUCACCCACCUCACCGCCGUUCUCCAUGCGCCCUUGUUCACGCAAAAAAUAUAUGUUCAGUCCUUCUCCUCCAAGAACUUUCUAUUAUCAUUGGCUUGCUAUUUUUUUGUCUUUAUUUUUUAUUUUUUUCUUUUAAAUCUAUAGGCUGAAAUAGAAAAUCUUAUAAAUGAGGAGCACCAGUUAGAUGAGCAAAUAAAGUUUCAGUGUCCUCUGCUGAUUCUACUAAACCCUAAACAGUUGUCAUACUUGUUUGCUAUCUUUUUAACUAAUCCUUAAUCUUUAUUGCAAUGAGAUGCAAGAAAGAUUAAAAGGUCUUAGUGAAGAUGAAAACACUCAAAGGUUAGGGAGCAUAUAAAAAUAUUCACCAUAUGACUGAUGAGGUGGUCCUGAUGGAUGAUAAAAUUAACAGUGUUGUGAGAGUUCUUUCUGGUGGCAUGAAGAGGAAAUUAUCUCUUGGAAUUGCAUUGAUAGGAAACAAUAAAGUAGUAUGCAUAUCAAAAACACUUGCUCUAUUUUGUAUUCAUAUAUUGAAAAAAAUUGGAAUCCCUUGAUCUUACCUGGCAUGUUAUAAUUCUUGAUGAACCUCCCAGCGGAAUGGAUCCAUACUCAAUGCGUUUGACUUCAUAGUUAAUACAAAAAUUUAAGAAGGGAAGGAUAAUCUUACUAGCAACUCAUUCAAUGGAUGAAUCAUAUGAACUAGAUGAUCGGAUAGCUAUCAUGGCCAAUGGUUUUCUGAAAUGCCGAGGAAGCUCACUUUUCUUGAAGCAUCAUUAUGGAGUUGGUUAUAGUCUAACUCUUGUAAAGUAAGCUCCUGUUGCUUCUAUAGCUAGUGAUAUAGUAUAUCAUCAUGUUCCCUCAGCAACAUGUGUAAGCGAGAUGCUGAAAGUGAAGAGAUGAGGUGUAAAAAAGGUAAACGUGAAAAUCUUACAUAGAAUAGGUUGAAUAGGUCUUUCCCAGCUUCGGCAGCAUUCGAAUAUGGAUGCAAGCCCUACAUGCUUUAAGAUUGAACCUGGUUUCUUCUCUUUCAUUGUUUUUAAUAGUUAAUUUUAUUAAGGAGUUAGUUACCUAUAUCAUUUGAAAUGCACAAAAGAAAAAAGGAAAAAUGGUAAGGUAGUUGGUUUUAUGUUGGAUUUCAUAUAAACAGUGCUUUGGUUAUGGAUAAUCAAGUUCAAACUCAAUUAAAAAAUACUUCCUUUUCAUACAUUGUUUUUAAAUAUGUUUUGCAUGACGUUAUGAUGAUUGAUUCUAUUUAUUUAAUUCUGCCUUGCUGGAUAUGCAUUUGCAGGUGGGAACUGAGAUUUUCUUUAGGCUUCCCCUAGCAUCUUCAUAAGCUUUUGAGGGGGUGUUUUAGGAAAAUUGAAGGUUGCAUGAAAAAAGCACUUUUGAACAUGAAAAUAAGCGACAAUAGGGCUGCUAUGGCGGCUAGAGUAGUUGUGGUGAAAGCUGUUCACAACAGAAUGGAUGGACAAUUUUGUGAUACUAAUAUCUAAGAAUUAGGUUAUUAGCUUUUUGUGAUGGAAUUGUAAAUUUUCCUUUUACUAAUUCUGAGUACUUAUUUCUUAA
Non-coding RNA from Arachis ipaensis, 1651 nucleotides. NCBI's taxonomy places the organism in Eukaryota, Viridiplantae, Streptophyta, Magnoliopsida, Fabales, Fabaceae. The record is from RefSeq and is a predicted model, not a curated record.